UACCUUAAGACAAAAAUAAUUUAAGGCAAGCCCUGCCCAGUGAAAUCUUCAACGGCCGCGGUAUCCUAACCGUGCAAAGGUAGCAUAAUAACUUGCCUAUUAAUUAUAGGAUAGAAUGAAAGAGUAAACGAAAUAGGAGCUGUCUCUAUUAGCCCAAUGAAAAUUAUUUUUUAACUGAAGAAAGUUAAAUUCAACUGAAGGACAAGAAGACCCUAUAGAGCUUAAUUUAACCUACUAAAUAAGUAAAAAUUAAAUUCGGUUGGGGCGACCGAUGCUCUACAAAUCAUCACCCACAAAAAGAAAUAUACAUCUCAAAAAAGACCCUGACCCAGAUCAAAAAAACAAGCUACCUUAGGGAUAACAGGCUAAUCUCAUUAAUGAGUCCCCAUCUAUAAUGUUGGUUGGCACCUCGAUGUUGGCUUAGGGAAUCAAAAGGGCGCAGAAGCUUUUUAAGACGGUUUGUUCAACCAUUAAACCCCUA
RNAcentral lists this ribosomal RNA (481 nucleotides) under Pontoscolex corethrurus complex sp. L1. Its description in RNAcentral is "partial small subunit ribosomal RNA". It matches the Rfam family "Bacterial large subunit ribosomal RNA", at positions 1827 to 2598 of the family's 2925-position model. Lineage: Eukaryota; Metazoa; Annelida; Clitellata; Crassiclitellata; Glossoscolecidae. The record is from RNAcentral.